CACUCUUACUGGGAUGUGCACUUCCUAUUUGGAUGUCUUCUGGGUACAAUGAUCGACCUCUUGCUCCUUUUGCUGGGAUUUUGAGCCUUGGAAUUGGGGAUACAAUGGUGAGUGUGGUUGUUACUAUUUAACUGUUGACAUGCUAAUUAUGAAAUGCUUUUUUGUUUUAUAUUUCUAUCUAGUUUUGAACUUUUGGAAGUUUUCAAUGCACAUCCUAGGUCCAACAAAUCACUAGCAUCUCUAGACUUCAAUAAAAUCUGAGAUGCGCAAUUAUUAUGACAGCAAAUACUUUUAUAUCCAAAGUAGGUUCUCUCAUUUUUACAUAAAUUAUACAAAAAUGUGUUGUCUGGCCAGAUUAGGCUUAUUGUGGUAAAUAGGAAUGUGAGAAUCACGGGAUAUGACUUUGAGGAAAUUCAUAGUUUUUACAGCCAGUGUAUUAUUCUCUUCCGUUGUGCAUAGAUAAUUGUUUCUUUCUAGAAUAAAAAGAUGGCCUUGCUUUUAUAUACAGGCUUCAAUGGUUGGGCACAAAUAUGGUGUCCUCCGGUGGAGCAAAACUGGAAGUAAGUAUUCUUUUUCCUUAGAAAAAUGAAAGAAGAACGAAAGAAAGAGGAGAUUAUUCUUGGGCAAGUAUUGCUUUCUUUACCAUGCUAAUAUGUUGUGAAACUUGCUUACUUUCUAGAGAAAACCAUUGAAGGCACUGCAGCUGGUAUAACAUCUGUCCUGGCUGCUUGCUCAGUUUUGCUUCCAAUUCUUGCAUCCACUGGAUAUAUUUUUACACAGGUCUGUCUUUCUAAGCUCCUCAUGGAAAUACACAAGCUUUUGCACACACACAAAUGCAUGCCUGUAUUCACAUGCUUAUAGUUUCCUGAAUAAUCAUCUUAUUGUCUGUUCAAUCUAAUUUCUUGGACAGUUGAACUAACUAAAUCAGUCUAUUAUUCUUUUUUGGAUAUGAGCCUUAUUGAAUCAGUUUAAUAGAACUCCUUUAUUGGGUUUUUCAAAACCAGCUUUAUAAUCAUGGACCAAUACCUUAUGGAUUAGUUGAUGCCCCUGAGAUUUAGAUGCUCAUGCUUAUCACAUUUCAAACUCAUUACAUCCUAUUCCAAGUUCUGAUGCUAAAUAUUGUGAAUACAAGUUCCUCCCAGAUGCUUGUGCAUUUAUGACAAGUUUCUGGGCUCAAACCUCCAGUCAUCUUUGUGUGUGUGUGUGUGUGCAUCAUAUUCACAAUUUCUAACAUCUGUCUGCCCCUACUUAAAAUGGAAAAAAUAAAAUUAAGAAUAAGAAGAUUUGUGGAAUAUCUUAUUAUGUGUUUGAUUAAUCUCUCUCCUUUUCUGCCCUAAUUGUGUCAUUGAUGCACAAGUUGACGUUUCCAACACUAAUUUAUGCAGCAUUGGGUCUCUCUUCUCCUAGCAGUGAUUGUGAGUGGUUUGUUGGAAGCCUACACAGCACAACUUGAUAAUGCAUUUAUACCACUCGUUUUCUACAGCCUUCUAUGUUUGUAACUGCAACUUCAACCUAAAAAAGAAGUGUAUUAGCAGCCAAUAAAGAAAUUCUCCAAGAAAUUCUAUAAUUUAUAUGUUCCCUUGAGAAACAUUUUUAGACAAACUAACCUGUUCUUAGAGAACACAAACAGCUUGUAGUAUGGUAUAUUCUUUCAUAGGUUGAGAUGGCUUUUGGAUAGGCUUAGGAUUGAC
RNAcentral lists this unclassified non-coding RNA (1691 nucleotides) under Hevea brasiliensis (rubber tree). Lineage: Eukaryota; Viridiplantae; Streptophyta; Magnoliopsida; Malpighiales; Euphorbiaceae. The record is from RNAcentral.